This is a non-coding RNA of Cordylochernes scorpioides, 92 nucleotides long. The record is from the annotation of a GenBank genome assembly. NCBI's taxonomy places the organism in Eukaryota, Metazoa, Arthropoda, Arachnida, Pseudoscorpiones, Chernetidae.
GCACCAGUCUCUUCGGAGGCGUGGGUUCGAAUCCCACCGCUGCCACUUUUUAACUGAUUAUAAUCAUCGAAAAGAUAGAGGCUGCCUGGCCG